This 26-nucleotide transfer RNA is filed under the name Acanthocercus annectans. Its description in RNAcentral is "partial tRNA-Leu". Lineage: Eukaryota; Metazoa; Chordata; Lepidosauria; Squamata; Agamidae. The record is from RNAcentral.
ACUUUUAAAGGAAAACAGAAAUCCAA